UAGAUGGAGGCCUGAUGGUUUGGGCACCUAGCUGUUAACUAGGAGAUUGUGGGAUCGAGGCCCACCUGUCUAG
Molecule: transfer RNA, 73 nt
Filed under: Cypseloides fumigatus (Sooty swift)
Lineage: Eukaryota; Metazoa; Chordata; Aves; Apodiformes; Apodidae
Description: tRNA-Asn
Rfam family: tRNA
About the family: Transfer RNA (tRNA) molecules are approximately 80 nucleotides in length. Their secondary structure includes four short double-helical elements and three loops (D, anti-codon, and T loops).
Source: RNAcentral